AAUUGCUGUUUGACUUCUCUUUGUCUCUCUGUCUCUGUCUGUUUCUGUCUAUCUCUGUCUCUCACUCUCUGUCUCUGUCUCUUCUCUCUGUCUCUCUCUCUCUGUCUCUGUCUCUCUCACUCUCUGUUCUCUCUGUCUCUAUCUCUGUCUCUGUCUCUGUCUUUGUCUCUCUCUGUCCUCUCUGUUUCUGUCUCUAUCUCUAUCUCUGACUCUGUGUCUCUCUCUGUCUCUCUCACUCUCUGUUCUCUCUGUCUCUAUCUCUGUCUGUCUCUCUGUCCUCUCUGUCUGUUUCUGUCUGUCUCUAUCUCUCUCUGUCUCUGUCUCUAUCUCUGUCUCUCUCUGUCUUUCUCACUCUCUCUGUCCUCUCUGUCUCUAUCUCUGUCUCUCUGUCCUCUCUGUCUGUUUCUGUCUCUGUCUCUCUCUGUCUCUGUCUCUGUCUCUCUCACUCUUUCUCUGUCCUCUCUGUCUCUAUCUCUGUCUCUGUCUCUCUAUCUUUGUUUCUGUCUCAAUCUCUAUCUCUGUCUCUGUCUCUCUGUCUUUGUUUCUGUCUCAAUCUCUAUCUCUGUCUCUGUCUCUCUCACUCUGUCCUCUCUGUCUCUAUCUCUGUUUCUAUCUCUAUCUCUGUCUCUGUCUCUCUAUCUUUGUUUCUGUCUCAAUCUCUAUCUCUGUCUCUCUCACUCUCUCUCUGUCCUCUCUGUCUCUAUCUCUGUCCUCUCUGUCUUUAUCUCUGUCUCUGUCUCUGUCUCUCUGUCUUUGUUUCUGUCUCAAUCUCUAUCUCUGUCUCUCUCACUCUCUCUCUGUCCUCUCUGUCUCUAUCUCUGUCCUCUCUGUCUCUGUCUCUCUGUCUUUGUUUCUGCCUCAAUCUCUAUCUCUGUCUCUGUCUCUCUCACUCUGUCCUCUCUGUCUCUAUCUCUGUCUCUAUCUCUAUCUCUGUCUCUGCCUCUCUCACUCUGUCCUCUCUGUCUCUAUCUCUGUCUCUAUCUCUAUCUCUGUCUCUGCCUCUCUCCAUCUCUCUCUCUGUCUCUCUCUGUCUCUCUGUCUCUCUCACUCUCUCUCCUCUCUCUCUCUCUCUCUCUGUCUCUCUCUCAGACUAUGGUUUCUCUGAGGGCAGGGCCUCAAUAGGUUCCUCUUCUCUCUCCUCAAAUGGAUGGAA
This 1153-nucleotide long non-coding RNA is filed under the name Monodelphis domestica (gray short-tailed opossum). RNAcentral describes it as "lncRNA (ENSMODG00000047613.1)". Lineage: Eukaryota; Metazoa; Chordata; Mammalia; Didelphimorphia; Didelphidae. The record is from RNAcentral.